Molecule: long non-coding RNA, 249 nt
Organism: Hippopotamus amphibius kiboko
Lineage: Eukaryota; Metazoa; Chordata; Mammalia; Artiodactyla; Hippopotamidae
Exons: 3
Source: RefSeq, a predicted model, not a curated record
CCCGGGUCCUCCAGGAGCCGUGCCCUUGGUAGGGGAGGAGUCCUCUUCCAGCCACAAUACUCGGCUCGGAAGAAACCAUGUAUGGCACACGUGUUUAAUCUUCACAUCAAGAGCCAAGUGUUAUGAUUCCCAUUUUCCAUACAAGGAAACUGAGGCUCAGAGAGGUGUCUGCCAGGCCCACCGCCCUUUCUCUUCACGCUGCCCCCAGUCAUGCGUCUACCAGGAUGCACCCCUGCGGUCAGGUGGACC